UCCAGCUCGCCGAACAGGACGGUCGCCCAGCAAAUAAUAGCAGUAAGCAGGGGUAAGUGCACACCAUAGAAAUAGGUAUUCCGCAGCCAUUGCGCAGAAAAGGCAUCACACUUCGGUGUGAUGCCAGUGCUCGCAAUGACUCUGCCGUAGAAGUGUAGUGCAUACCGUAGAAGUAGGUAUUCCGCAGGCAUUGCGCAGAAAAGGCGUCACACUUCGGUGUGAUGCCAGUGCUCGCAAUGACUGCCUAUACCGUAGAGGGUACUUCGCAGGCAUUGCGCAGAAAAGGCGUCACACUUCGGUGUGAUGCCAGUGCUCGCAAUGACUCUGCCGUAGAAGUGUAGUGCAUACCGUAGAAGUAGGUAUUCCGCAGGCAUUGCGCAGAAAAGGCGUCACACUUCGGUGUGAUGCCAGUGCUCGCAAUGACUCUGCCGUAGAAGUGUAGUGCAUACCGUAGAAGUAGGUAUUCCGCUGGCAUUGCGCAGAAAAGGCAUCACACUUCGGUGUGAUGCCAGUGCUCCCAAUGACUGCCAUAGAGUGGGGUACUUCGCAGGCAUUGCGCAGAAAAGGCAUCACAUUUCAGUGUGGUGCCAGUGCUCGCAAUGACUCUGCCGUAGAAGUGUAGUGCAUACCGUAGAAGCAUUGCGCAGAAAAGGCAUCACGCUUCGGUGUGGUGCCAGUGCUCGCAAUGAUUGAAUACUCUCCUCACUGAAAACGCGGCAGUAUUCUCGACGAUCACCGGCCCCAGCACAGUCACCGAACACAUAAUUCGCCUUAAACACGACCGGCCAUUAAAGCAGAGGUAUUAUCCACGCAACCCAGCGAUGCAAGAAGUAAUCAAUCAAGAGGUGAACGAAUUGAUUGCAACCGGCCGCAUCGAAGCACGUUCUCAUAGCACGUUCACAUAUAAGCAGGUUAUGGUUAACAAAAAUUAACCUCGAAGCUAACCUUGUUGCGUUCACAUAUACACACAAUAAAUAUCUAGCUGCAUUAAAUUCCUGUAGCCGAGAAUAUAAAGUUGCUAUCCAACAAAGUGAGCAGGAAUUACGGAUACGAAGAGCUCGAGUAAUAUCGAUUUAUUAUGAAAUAUUAAUGUUGACAACAAUACCUCUUUGUAAGGAAAUAAACCCAAGAAGUAUUUGGGCAUACAAGCGACAUGGGAACUUCUGGGAAAAGGAUGUUCCAUCAAUGAACGACCGCGUUUUUAAGGAAACCUUUCGCAUGAGCAGGGCAACCUUUGAAAUAUUGUGUGAAUAUGUCAAAGGUAUUACCAAACAGGAUUCAUGCUAUAGGAAGUGCAUCCCAUUGCAGAAAAUGGUAGCUGUUGCCGUCUACACAUUAAAAUCUUCGGCGGAGUAUGAAACUGUUGCACGACUAUUCGGUGUUUCGAAAGCAAUCGUCAGCGAAAUAUUUCUUGCUUUUUGCCAAGAAGUGUGGCAAUCAUUGCGUCCCAUUUAUUUGACAGAACAAUUAAGGAACAGUGAAAACGUGGAUGAGUGUGUUCAUGGGUUUGAGAAGCUUGGCUUUCCGCAAUGUCUUGGUGCCAUAGACGGUUGCCACAUUAAAGUUCGGCCAAGGAUUGGAUUGCACGGCCUAUUACAAUUCUAAGGGGUGGUACUCCACAGUUUUAUUUGCCCUUGUAGAUUAUAGAUAUCGCUUCCUCUACAUUAAUGUUGGCUGCCCAGGUCGAUGCAAUGACUCAAAAAUUUUUCAAUGUAGCAAACUAAAUACUGCAUUGAAGGACCCAAUCUUCACUGCAAAAAGCAAAACUAUUAAUGGCGUGUAUGUUCCUGUGGGCGUUAUGGGUGAUUCGGCUUUCCGAUUUGCCAACAAUCUAAUGAAGCCCUAUCCAUUCCAAGUACAUCCUCCAGAGCAUGAAAAAAUUUUUAAUUACCAAUUGUCCAAAUGCCGAAGAGUGGUGGAAAAUGCGUUUGAACACCUAAAGGCUCGUUUUAGGAGAAUAGGAAAAGGAGUCGACAACCACAUCAAAAAUGUUCCUCUUAUAAUUAAAGCAGCCUGUACAUUGCAUAACUUUUUAAAUUGUCAUAAUGAUGUCAUCAAUCACAAAUGGAUAGAAGAACAAACCACUUACGAAAGUAAUGUACGCCUGGAACAGCCCGAGCAGCAACAGAUGCUGUAGCAGAUUUUGAAGCAGAACCUGAAACAAUUAGAAGAGCGAUUGCGAAUUCAUUUUACUCCGGAGUCGUCGAAAGUCCUGCAAGCUCAUCGCUUGAAAUGAAUUGGGAUUGGCUGCUCGUCGAAGGGUAGAUAGCAGCGCAACCAAUGUUGUCUUCUGGUUCCACAUCUUGAAUUAAAAUAAAAUAAUAAAUAAAAGAGCAAACAAAAGUUUCAUUUUUAUAUUACCUAUACUCUCUUGCAUGAGUUCUUUGAAAUUUACUGCCUUAUUACCACUGAGUAUUUCUUCCACCUCCUUGUUGUGGAUCCAAGAGGAAGGCGAACCACCAGUCAUACCCACCGCAUUCUUUUCUAAUCUAUAAAAUAAAAUACAUAUUAUAAUGCUGUGAGUAUGCAGCAAAAUAUACUUUUUUAAUUUUAAAUGUACUUACUUGUAUCGAUUGGUAAAAAUAUGCACUUUUUCCUUUAUUUCAGCUGCACUGUAGUUCAUCUGCCUUUUUGAAAAUUCCUUUUCCAAACGCGCAAAGAUAUGAACAUUCUUUUUCGCGCUUCGUAAUUCUUCUAUACUAUCUGCCCAGUGCAAUAGCAGCAAUUUCUCUGCAUCUACUGUCCAUCUGGCACGGUUUUUCCUUUUCUUAAUUACAAUUUAAUAAAAUUAUUAUAUAUAAGUAUAUUUGAAUGCAUAAAAAAUAAAAAUAUAUAAAUUAAAAUUUAUA
Molecule: long non-coding RNA, 2849 nt
Organism: Bactrocera neohumeralis
Lineage: Eukaryota; Metazoa; Arthropoda; Insecta; Diptera; Tephritidae
Exons: 6
Source: RefSeq, a predicted model, not a curated record